GCUGGCGGCNGCCUACACAUGCAAGUCGAGCGGCAGCGGAAAGUAGCUUGCUACUUUGCCGGCGAGCGGCGGACGGGUGAGUAAUGUCUGGGAAACUGCCUGAUGGAGGGGGAUAACUACUGGAAACGGUAGCUAAUACCGCAUGACCUCGAAAGAGCAAAGUGGGGGAUCUUCGGACCUCACGCCAUCGGAUGUGCCCAGAUGGGAUUAGCUAGUAGGUGAGGUAAUGGCUCACCUAGGCGACGAUCCCUAGCUGGUCUGAGAGGAUGACCAGCCACACUGGAACUGAGACACGGUCCAGACUCCUACGGGAGGCAGCAGUGGGGAAUAUUGCACAAUGGGCGCAAGCCUGAUGCAGCCAUGCCGCGUGUGUGAAGAAGGCCUUAGGGUUGUAAAGCACUUUCAGCGAGGAGGAAGGCAUCAUACUUAAUGCGUGUGGUGAUUGACGUUACUCGCAGAAGAAGCACCGGCUAACUCCGUGCCAGCAGCCGCGGUAAUACGGAGGGUGCAAGCGUUAAUCGGAAUUACUGGGCGUAAAGCGCACGCAGGCGGUUUGUUAAGUCAGAUGUGAAAUCCCCGCGCUUAACGUGGGAACUGCAUUUGAAACUGGCAAGCUAGAGUCUUGUAGAGGGGGGUAGAAUUCCAGGUGUAGCGGUGAAAUGCGUAGAGAUCUG
This 674-nucleotide ribosomal RNA is filed under the name uncultured Rahnella sp. Its description in RNAcentral is "bacterial SSU rRNA". It matches the Rfam family "Bacterial small subunit ribosomal RNA", at positions 35 to 700 of the family's 1533-position model. The record is from RNAcentral. Lineage: Bacteria; Pseudomonadati; Pseudomonadota; Gammaproteobacteria; Enterobacterales; Yersiniaceae.